This 240-nucleotide unclassified non-coding RNA is filed under the name uncultured fungus. RNAcentral describes it as "partial contains 5.8S ribosomal RNA, internal transcribed spacer 2, and large subunit ribosomal RNA". The stretch from base 1 to 52 matches the Rfam family "5.8S ribosomal RNA", at positions 103 to 154 of the family's 154-position model. Lineage: Eukaryota; Fungi. The record is from RNAcentral.
AACGCACAUUGCGCUCCUUGGUAUUCCGAGGAGCAUGCCUGUUCGAGCGUCAUUAUCAACCAUCAAGCACGGCUUGGCAUUGGCCUCCGUCCCUCGGGACGGGGCCUAAAGACUUCGGCGGCGGUGUUGAACCCUAAGCGUAGUAAAAUACCAGCUUCGUGUGUUUGACACCGCUCUGCCUCCAAAACCCUUCGCCUCAAGGUUGACCUCGGAUCAGGUAGGGAUACCCGCUGAACUUAA